GAGUUUGAUCGUGGCUCAGAUUGAACGCUGGCGGCAUGCCUUACACAUGCAAGUCGAACGGCAGCAUGAUCUAGCUUGCUAGAUUGAUGGCGAGUGGCGAACGGGUGAGUAAUACAUCGGAACGUGCCCUGUAGUGGGGAUAACUAGUCGAAAGAUUAGCUAAUACCGCAUACGACCUGAGGGUGAAAGUGGGGGACCGCAAGGCCUCAUGCUAUAGGAGCGGCCGAUGUCUGAUUAGCUAGUUGGUGGGUAAAGGCCCACCAAGGCGACGAUCAGUAGCUGGUCUGAGAGGACGAUCAGCCACACUGGGACUGAGACACGGCCCAGACUCCUACGGGAGGCAGCAGUGGGGAAUUUUGGACAAUGGGCGAAAGCCUGAUCCAGCAAUGCCGCGUGUGUGAAGAAGGCCUCGG
This 413-nucleotide ribosomal RNA is filed under the name uncultured microorganism. RNAcentral describes it as "bacterial SSU rRNA". It matches the Rfam family "Bacterial small subunit ribosomal RNA", at positions 9 to 420 of the family's 1533-position model. The record is from RNAcentral.